This is a small RNA of Vibrio sp., 311 nucleotides long. The record is from Rfam. Lineage: Bacteria; Pseudomonadati; Pseudomonadota; Gammaproteobacteria; Vibrionales; Vibrionaceae.
AAAGAAGAUACUAACCACGUCGACAGGAUGUUGGCAGGAAAAGGAACAAACCCUAACGGAUUAGGUAUCUUCAGGAUGAAGAUUUGAUAACUUAGGAUUAGUUAUCAGCAAGGAAGUGAAGCUCUAGGAUAGAGUUCGCCCGUCAGGAUGACAGGCUAGAAUGGACACCGCUAGGAUGGCGACGACAUGGAACUAGGUUAACGGAUUUUAACCACUAUCAAGGAAAGAUGCAGGGAGCACUUUUAGUAGCCGGAUUGCUGCGAAAGAGAAUAGGCCCCAGCUGAUGCAAAUCAGUUGGGGCUUUAUUUUAA